UACGUAGGGGGCAAGCGUUGUCCGGAUUUAUUGGGCGUAAAGAGCGUGUAGGCGGCCAUACAGGUCAGCUGUGAAAACUCGAGGCUCAACCUCGAGAUGUCGGUUGAAACCGUAUGGCUAGAGUCCGGAAGAGGAGAGUGGAAUUCCCGGUGUAGCGGUGAAAUGCGCAGAUAUCGGGAAGAACACCAGUGGCGAAGGCGAACACUCUGGAGAGCAACUGACGCUGAGGCACGAAGGCCAGGGGAGGCGAACGGG
This 255-nucleotide ribosomal RNA is filed under the name uncultured bacterium. RNAcentral describes it as "partial 16S ribosomal RNA". It matches the Rfam family "Bacterial small subunit ribosomal RNA", at positions 524 to 776 of the family's 1533-position model. The record is from RNAcentral.